CGCCCUUAGAGUUUGAUCAUGGCUCAGGAUGAACGCUGGCGGCGUGCCUAAUACAUGCAAGUCGAACGCAAAGAUGCUUGCAUCUUUGAGUGGCGAACGGGUGAGUAACACGUGAACAACCUACCUUAUAGUAGGGGAUAACAUUUGGAAACAGAUGCUAAUACCGUAUAAAACAAUUUUUGCAUAAAAAGUUGUAAAAGGCGUUCGCGUCGCUAAAAGAUGGGUUCGCGCUGCAUUAGUUAGUUGGUGAGGUAAAGGCUCACCAAGACGAUGAUGCAUAGCCAAGUUGAGAGACUGAUCGGCCACAUUGGGACUGAGACACGGCCCAAGCUCCUACGGGAGGCUGCAGUAAGGAAUCUUCCACA
This 365-nucleotide ribosomal RNA is filed under the name uncultured Leuconostoc sp. RNAcentral's name for it is "bacterial SSU rRNA". It matches the Rfam family "Bacterial small subunit ribosomal RNA", at positions 1 to 370 of the family's 1533-position model. Lineage: Bacteria; Bacillati; Bacillota; Bacilli; Lactobacillales; Lactobacillaceae. The record is from RNAcentral.